CGUAUCGGAGAAGCGCAGGAAACUGCGCGAAACUCGCCUGCAAUCCCGGCAUCAUCACACCAGUGAUGUGGCGACUUUUUCAACUGGCUGCUGCUGCGGCAGCGAUUAU
RNAcentral lists this non-coding RNA (109 nucleotides) under unclassified sequences. RNAcentral describes it as "DUF3577 RNA". It matches the Rfam family "DUF3577 RNA". The record is from RNAcentral.